Molecule: ribosomal RNA, 277 nt
Filed under: uncultured bacterium
Lineage: Bacteria
Description: partial 16S ribosomal RNA
Rfam family: Bacterial small subunit ribosomal RNA
Source: RNAcentral
UGUCAAGGCCUGGCGCUUGAAUGAUGAGCCCGUGUCCUGAUUAGCUAGUUGGCGGGGUAUGGCCCACCAAGGCUUCGAUCGGUAGCCGGGCCUGAGAGGGCGGACGGCCACACUUGGAACUGAGCACACGGUCCAGACUCAUACGGGAGGCAGCAGUGGGGAAUUUCUCGCAAUGGGCGCAAGCCUGAACGACGCAACGCCGCGUGGAAGGAUGAAGACCUUCGGGUCGUAAAACUCCUUUCCGAUCGAGAACGAAUGGCCUCCCGGGUUAAACAGC